Molecule: ribosomal RNA, 303 nt
Filed under: uncultured bacterium
Lineage: Bacteria
Description: partial 16S ribosomal RNA
Rfam family: Bacterial small subunit ribosomal RNA
Source: RNAcentral
AGCAGUCGCCGCGGUAAAACGGAGGAUCCAAGCGUUAUCCGGAAUCAUUGGGUUUAAAGGGUCCGUAGGCGGUCUUGUAAGUCAGUGGUGAAAGCCCAUCGCUCAACGGUGGAACGGCCAUUGAUACUGCAGGACUUGAAUUAUUGGGAAGUAACUAGAAUAUGUAGUGUAGCGGUGAAAUGCUUAGAGAUUACAUGGAAUACCAAUUGCGAAGGCAGGUUACUACCAAUUGAUUGACGCUGAUGGACGAAAGCGUGGGUAGCGAACAGGAUUAGAUACCCCCGUAGUCCCUGUCUCUUAUAC